This 222-nucleotide unclassified non-coding RNA is filed under the name plant metagenome. Its description in RNAcentral is "partial contains small subunit ribosomal RNA and internal transcribed spacer 1". The stretch from base 1 to 46 matches the Rfam family "Eukaryotic small subunit ribosomal RNA", at positions 1786 to 1831 of the family's 1831-position model. The record is from RNAcentral.
AAGUCGUAACAAGGUUUCCGUAGGUGAACCUGCGGAAGGAUCAUUACAGGAGUUCAUCGCCCUCACCUGGGGUUAGAUCUCCCACCCCUUGUAUAUAUAAUUAUCUGUUGCUUUAGGCUGGGCCGCGAGCCUCGCUCGCCUGGGUUCUGACCCGGCGUGCCCGCCAGAGGAAACCUAAACUCUGAAUGUUAGUGUCGUCUGAGUACUAUAUAAUAGUUAAAA